CUUGGGCACACCUGGGUGUUGUGGGUGGCAUCGGAGUGACUCCCUGCUCCUGGACCUCACAGAGAGUGACUUUGCCCAUGGCAGAUGUUGAGCUGCAGGACAUCUCGAAGGUGUAAGAAGACAGUGCGGCCUUCCUCUGAUGGCCAGGCCUGCAGAUGGAGGACUCUCCACAUUCCCGUGCUUCAACGGCUCCUCCUACAUGUUCCUCGUGAUGUCAUGCAGUUCCACAUAAGUUGGUUGACCUUUCAGGUGAAACAGCAAGAGAAGAGAAAGAAGAAAAUAACAAGGAUCCCCCAUAAUUUUCAGACAGCAGGCGUCUCUUUACUUGCUGCUUUGUCCAGACACAGGUCAUUUCUCAGGGCUUUGGGUUCCUCUGCCAUCACUGAGGCUGCAGAGGAGACUCUGUAACUAGGGAGAGAAGCAAAACAAAUGGGGACGACCCCCUGAUUCCUGGACAUGCAAGGCCCCUCUUUCCCACUAGACUGAUUAGAAAUAAGGAGUUAGUCCCAGAGUUUUCACUGUCGGCGGCUGCUGGACUUCACCUUCCCUGGGUAAGCUGGGAGACAGGAGGGUGUACACCCAAAGUGAGACUGUUAGAUCAUGCCAGCUGAAGUAAGCCGGUCACAGAAGGACCAGUAUUGCCUGAUUCCACUUAUACGAGCAUGUGUUGACCACCUACUAUGUGCCAGGCACUGUGUUGGGCGCUGAGGAUUCCACUGGACAGAGCUGGUUCCUGCCUUCAAGGAACACCAUGUCCUCGCAGAUGCUAACAACACAUCACACACUCAGCCUCCACAGCAGCCAAGCAGCCAAGCAGCCCUUCGACAUGGAGGCAGCAGACCUGGAGGAAGUCGGACACGUUAGCAACCUGCCUGCUCUGAUGGAUCCGGACAACGAUGCUAAUAGAGUGGUUAUUGGCUAUUUUGCGUUGCUAUUUCUUGGUGCAGUGCAGCAGGAUUUCAGAGAAACCCACUGGAGACCACCUGGAAUCCACACUGAACUGGUCCUUGGUCCAGUGUGGGCCCUUGAGCCCCUCCAGCGUCACGGCACUCUGCAGGUGCCCUGGUGAGUUUCUCCUGAAACCCAGACCUCCUUAUUUAAGCCAUAGGUCCCAACAUUUACUUGAGCUGUGUCAAGUCUUACAACUAGGUCUUUUAAGGAGGUGCCAGUAAAUUUCCUAGGUAAGAGGAACCUAGGGGGAAUUUUCUAGGCCAGGGGAGCCUAGGGGAACUUUGGAGUGAUUGGG
Molecule: long non-coding RNA, 1246 nt
Filed under: Equus caballus (horse)
Lineage: Eukaryota; Metazoa; Chordata; Mammalia; Perissodactyla; Equidae
Description: lncRNA (ENSECAG00000055321.1)
Source: RNAcentral